CGCUGACGUGAAGCCAUGGCCUGCUCUGAAGGAGAACCUUACGUCCGGGGAAGUACAGAAGACGGGGCUGCUUUGUAGGGCGCAGAGGUGAGAAGACAUGCUACCAGCAUCUGUCUUGUUUGUAAGCAAAGCACAGAAGACAGAUGAUCUGGCGCAGUAAAUCUACGGGCUGUUAUAAAUUACCAGCAGAUGAAUUGCUGACCUGUCCAGGGUGUAUUCCUGCCUCUCACCCAGUGCAUGCUGGGAUAGGCUCCCUCACCCCCCGUGACUCUGACCAGGAUAAGCCUGUAUAGAUAAUGGAUGGAUAUACAGCAUUGUGUACAGGACCUUUUUAUUGUGCGGCAUUUCCUGUAGUCUCUCAAGGACAAAGGAUGGGCAUUGCAUAGGGAGCAACACAAAUGUUUGUUUGCUGUAGGACAGAGCCCUUCGCUUGCACAUGGAGGCCAGAGGAACAGGUCUACGGUGUUUGGUGUCCAUGGUAACAAUAUCCCCUAAUGUUCCUCUUCCUUUGUUUUUUGACUGCUUUUGAGAUGAAACCAUGUUUUU
This is a long non-coding RNA of Anguilla anguilla (European eel), 546 nucleotides long. RefSeq lists it as uncharacterized. The transcript is spliced from 3 exons. Lineage: Eukaryota; Metazoa; Chordata; Actinopteri; Anguilliformes; Anguillidae. The record is from RefSeq and is a predicted model, not a curated record.